Molecule: long non-coding RNA, 438 nt
Filed under: Ananas comosus (pineapple)
Lineage: Eukaryota; Viridiplantae; Streptophyta; Magnoliopsida; Poales; Bromeliaceae
Description: long non-coding RNA (ACOM_LNC011300)
Source: RNAcentral
AUUUAUUCUCAUAAUUAACUAAAAAUUUGCAUUCUUUAGUUACGGUGAAAAGACAAUAAAGAGUGAUAUAUGUUAAAUAUAAAAAUGUUAAGCUUUUAGAGUACAACGGUUGUUUCACAUAGUAUCAGAGCAGGAGGUCCUGAGUUCGAGUCACGCCAGGCUCCUAGCAUAUUAAUUUCCUCCCAUUUAACUCAAGCCCACGUCAUGAGCCGAUUAAAAAAUCUAAAAAUCUCUACGCUUAAGCUUUUAGAGUACAACGGUUGUUUCACAGUAUAUAGAAUACAAGAAUGAUGUCAAAAAUAUAUUUUUAACAUAUUAAUUGAUAUUGUCAUUCCUUUUUACAUGGAAUAAUAAGUUUAUAUAUAUAUUUUAUAUAAAAUAAUGGGAUGGGAUGGAGGGCACAAGUUUAUGAUUAUAUAUAUGAUUAUAUAUGUGGUG